GAUCCCUCCCACCGAGCCCCUGCCCCCCUCCCACUCCCCCAGCCUGAGCUGGUGGGACAGCUGGGAUCUAUCCAGGAGCGGGGCUUGCUAUGGUGGACAUCCAGGAACUCCCUCCACCGUGCCUCAGCAGCCUGCAGCCAGGCUUCUUGGCAUCCCUUAGGCCCUGGAAGAGCAGCAGCUGCGUGCUGGUCUGGCCCCGGGUGGGGAUGGCAGGGCUGGGGAGCACACACGGGUGUCACCGGGCAUAAGUGGGGUGCCCAUGAGACUAAACUCAUGCCUACGGCAAUGCUUGGGGCUGUUGGUGCUUCGUCAUGCCGGUACUGCCUGGUGUUGCCUCUUGCAGCACGGCCAUGGGGUGUGUGUGUGUGUGUGUGUGUGCCCCGUGCUCUGCUCGAGUGGCCGCACUCCAGAGAGUGGCUGUAGGAGCGUGCAUCUCGACCAGAGCCUCUGGGUGCUGCUGGGGGUGCCGUGUGUUUCUGACCAUCUAUCACUUACUUGGAGGGGCUGUGCUAAGCAGGCAGCUCUUCUCGCACGCCCCAACUUUGGAGGAGGUUGUUCUGUGGUUUCCGUUCCUCCAGCUUGCUCACCGAGGCGUGAACUCGCACGGGGUCCCCUGUUUUUGCAAACAGCAGUCUGGCAGAACAUGGAGGAAAAUGCAGCUCUUUCCUACGGCAGAGACAAAUCUCAGCUUGCUGCUGCCGCGGAGGGAGGACAUUGCCUAUCUUUGUUCUUGGCUAUCCUGUUUCUACCCACGAGACCGCGGGGCCUUAACCGCUCAUCUCCGAAAGCCAAGAGCGGAGCCUGGGCUUCCUCUCCCGCGACACCUUGCUGCCAUCCAGCAAACAAUCGCCUGGGCGUGCCGCAUCCUCUCCCAGCGCCGGCCCCGCGAAGCCUCCCGGCCGCGGGGUUGCCGCGGGACAGGGCUGCAGAGCCGAGCCGUGCCGAGCCAGGGCUGGGGCCGGAGCCUGCUCGUAGCCCGGGGCUGUAGCUGCGAAUUUCUCCGGUGGUUUCCCAACGGUGCACGCUUCACUCGCACGGUGCAAAAAAUAGUAAUAAUAAUAAAAAAUAUAUAUAUCAGCGCGGGUGUUAGCAGCGCCCGUGGCCGUGAGCUGUGCGGUGGCGUGCGGCAAAGCCCAGGACACGCGUGGGGCAGAGGGCAGGACGCGGUGGGCACCGCUGGGCAAGGGGAGGCACACGGAGCCCCCGGGCUGCGGCCGGGGAGGCUGCACACCGCUCCCGGAGCACCGGCGGCGCGGCCGGAGGGACGUGCGGGACGCUGCGGGGCAGCUCCCCGCACCGCCGGGCCGAGCCCACGGGGCUCCGCAGCCGCCCAGCCGCUGGG
This 1342-nucleotide long non-coding RNA is filed under the name Anas zonorhyncha (Eastern spot-billed duck). Its description in RNAcentral is "lncRNA (ENSAZOG00000005446.1)". Lineage: Eukaryota; Metazoa; Chordata; Aves; Anseriformes; Anatidae. The record is from RNAcentral.